Molecule: transfer RNA, 72 nt
Filed under: Bos taurus (domestic cattle)
Lineage: Eukaryota; Metazoa; Chordata; Mammalia; Artiodactyla; Bovidae
Also listed under: 4 other names
Rfam family: tRNA
About the family: Transfer RNA (tRNA) molecules are approximately 80 nucleotides in length. Their secondary structure includes four short double-helical elements and three loops (D, anti-codon, and T loops). Further hydrogen bonds mediate the characteristic L-shaped molecular structure. tRNAs have two regions of fundamental functional importance: the anti-codon, which is responsible for specific mRNA codon recognition, and the 3' end, to which the tRNAs corresponding amino acid is attached (by aminoacyl-tRNA synthetases). tRNAs cope with the degeneracy of the genetic code in two manners: having more than one tRNA (with a specific anti-codon) for a particular amino acid; and 'wobble' base-pairing, i.e. permitting non-standard base-pairing at the 3rd anti-codon position.
Source: Rfam by way of RNAcentral
UCCCAGAUAGCUCAGAUGGCAAAGAAUCUGCCUGCAAUGCAGGAGACCCAGGUUCGAUCCCUGGGUUGGGAA